UACGGAGGAUCCAAGCGUUAUCCGGAAUUAUUGGGCGUAAAGGGCGCGUAGGCGGCUGUACAAGUCAAAGGUGAAAUCCCUCGGCCCAACCGAGGAACUGCGCCCAGUACUGCGUUGCUUGAGGAUCCAAGGGGUGCAUGGAAUUCCCGGUGGAGCGGUGAAAUGCGUUGAUAUCGGGAGGAACUCCGGCGGCGAAAGCGGUGCACUGGUGGAUUUCUGGACGCUGAGGUGCGAAAGCCAGGG
RNAcentral lists this ribosomal RNA (243 nucleotides) under uncultured bacterium. Its description in RNAcentral is "partial 16S ribosomal RNA". It matches the Rfam family "Bacterial small subunit ribosomal RNA", at positions 524 to 765 of the family's 1533-position model. The record is from RNAcentral.